GGAGUGAUGGCUCAGUGAUUAAGAGCACUUGCUUUCACAGAGGAACUGGGUUCAACUCCCAGCACUCUG
RNAcentral lists this transfer RNA (69 nucleotides) under Rattus norvegicus (Norway rat). It matches the Rfam family "tRNA". Rfam says of the family: Transfer RNA (tRNA) molecules are approximately 80 nucleotides in length. Their secondary structure includes four short double-helical elements and three loops (D, anti-codon, and T loops). The record is from Rfam by way of RNAcentral. Lineage: Eukaryota; Metazoa; Chordata; Mammalia; Rodentia; Muridae.